UACGCUUUGAUGUUCCCAAGGGUUCAUUGUAACUACAUAUCAUUGGGCCAAUGCCUCAUGCCAACCGGUCACAUGGAUAAUUUUCUUCUUCCUUGCAUCUGCCGCAAGUUCGUUGAGGACUGCCACCCAACAGUCUCUGGAAGGCAUCAUUUUUUUCCCACAUAUUGGGGAGAACAUCUUGAAUUAUAGAAGCAGCAAGCAAUUCAAAACGAUCGCGUUGUCUUUUGUUGGGGCAGCUUCAGCAAGCAGGAGGAAACGACUGGAUAAUUCAGACAGGUUGUUCUUCCCUAUUGUCAUUCAAGGCCACUGGAUAGUUUUCGCUGUUGAUUUCCAUUAUAAGCUUUUUGCUUUCUUAGACUCACAUUAUGGCAAGGAUUCAAAUUUUCACAUGUCAAUACGAGAGAAAAUGGUAAGUGUUCAUUUGAUCUUUUUUCUUUUUGUAUCCUCACAACACAUUUUUGUAAAAUGUAUAUGGUGCUCGAUAGUCUGCAUUUUUUUCAUCUUUUUCUCUAAUGCAGAUCGACAACUUCAUCAAUUUGUGGGAAAUCAUAUUUCAAACUAAAGAACACAAUUUUUGUACUUUCAAAAGGAUGUACCCUCAUGUGCCUAAACAGGGCAACGAGAAUGAUUGCGGUAUUUUCGCUGUCAAGUUCAUGGAGUUAUGGGAACCAGCUAUGGAUCCGAGGAAGUGCUUCUCACAAGCCGACAUAACACACAUAAGGAUUCAAUACAUGAAUCAGCUUUAUUUCUGGAGUAAGAAUAGCACCGACAAGCGUGUAGUUACCGACUUCAACUUAGAGGGUGAUUUUGUCGGAAACCAUGGACAAUAGAAACUGCUGAUCUAUGCUCUUGGGAUUUUGUCAGAUGGAUAUCAAGAUGGGGAAUUCAUCUUCUUUUUUCAGCCAGUUCGCUGGGGCCUGCACAUGUGGCUUUUUUUCUUCCUUCUUCUAGAUGUAUCCCAGUGCAUGUGGUUGUAAAGAAACAUUUUUUGUGACAUGGGUUUUUUGUUUGUCAAUGGGGCAUUUAGUGACAUGUUCUUUUUGUGGUAAUAGACAAUGUGCGACAAGUUAUUUGUUUGUUGUAAUAUCUUUUUUAUUCUAUGUGCGAUGAUAAGGCAAGACAUGUAUAUAUGUUCGACAAGUUA
Long non-coding RNA from Hordeum vulgare subsp. vulgare (domesticated barley), 1144 nucleotides. RefSeq lists it as uncharacterized. The record is from RefSeq and is a predicted model, not a curated record. The transcript has 5 exons. Lineage: Eukaryota; Viridiplantae; Streptophyta; Magnoliopsida; Poales; Poaceae.